GACGGCGGCGGCGGCGGCGGCGUAAAGCGUUAAUGAAAAUGGCAACGCGCCGCGACGCCACGCGGCAGCCUCGACGGGGUACGUACGGCCGCAAAUUACGCUGCUUUAUCAAUCUGAAAUAACAUCGGCGCGGGACAAUUAGCGACAACGCGAAAACUUACGGAGGAUUUUCACCGACCCAACGCAAGGAUCACGUUACGGCAUGGCUGACACAUAGACGGAUGUAUCUGGGAGAGAUAUCGUAGUCAAGAGAGUACAGAGAUUCUACCUUGACAAGUAACAUAUUUUCAGUUCGCAAGCAGAGGAUAGCGAAAGUAUUAAUUCGAAGCAAAUGAUACAUAUACUCAACAAAUUAGAAAUACACAGGGAACCUUCAAGAUAGUCUAAUGAAAAAUAUUUCUAAAAAAACAGUACAUUUAUCCUGUUAAGUCUGCUGCAAAACUGUUAAUAAAAGAAAUUGUGAAAAAAGAAAUA
This is a long non-coding RNA of Wasmannia auropunctata (little fire ant), 474 nucleotides long. RefSeq lists it as uncharacterized. Lineage: Eukaryota; Metazoa; Arthropoda; Insecta; Hymenoptera; Formicidae. The transcript has 3 exons. The record is from RefSeq and is a predicted model, not a curated record.